RNAcentral lists this ribosomal RNA (2824 nucleotides) under Saccharum hybrid cultivar. RNAcentral's name for it is "bacterial LSU rRNA". It matches the Rfam family "Bacterial large subunit ribosomal RNA", at positions 1 to 2525 of the family's 2925-position model. The record is from RNAcentral. Lineage: Eukaryota; Viridiplantae; Streptophyta; Magnoliopsida; Poales; Poaceae.
ACAAGUAUAUAAAGAAACUAUUAUGGAUGGUUAGCUAUAUAUUUCAAGAUAAUUAUAUCUAGAUAAUUCUUAAGCUAGAAAUCAUAGAGAAAUCUAAUAAUAAGACAAAGUGAAUUGAAAUAUCUUAGUAACUUUAGGAAAAGAAAUCAAACGAGAUUGUUAUUUGGUGUCUUCUGAAUAGCAAAAGCCUUAUAAAAAUAACAUAUUUUUUAUGUUAUUUUUAAUAUAAAUAUACUAAUGGUAUAUUUAAGUAUAACGGAAAAAAAUCUGUUGAAAAAUAGGGGAACCUUCCUCUAAGGCUAAAAAAAAUAUAUAAGCGAUAGAGUAACAGUACCGUGAGGGAAAUACCCUGAAAUAGUAGUUUUAUAAGCAGCUCGAGUUAAAAUUUAAAUAAAUAAUAAGAGCGUACCUUUUGCAUAAUGGGUCAGCAAGUUAAUUUUAGAUGCAAGUAACAUCUCUUUUAUAUUAAUUUAUGCUUAGAACAAUAUAUAUAAUUAUAUAUGUAUAAUAAUUUAUUUUAUUAAUGAAGGAAAAAAUAAAGAAAUAAAUAUAAAAUUUAUAACAUUAAAGUAAUUUAAAGUAAUAAGUUAGUAAUAAUUAUUCUUUAUAAUAACCACAUUAUGUAAAAUUAUUUAUAUGUAAUUAUGUAUAUUUAUAUUAUCUUAAAUAUUGGUGUAUAAAUUAAUAUAAAAUAAGGAGAUAGAUACGUAGAUAAACCAAUUAUGAAAAAAUGAAUAAGUAUCUAGAAUUAGACCCGAAGGCUAGUGAUCUUACCAUGGUCAGGGUUAUAAAAGCCCGAACGGGUUAUCGUUGUAAAGAUAUCCGAUGAACUGUGGUAAGUUAGUGAAAGACAAAACUGACUAGUAUAGCUGGUUUUCCGCGAAACCUAUGUAAGUAGGUAAUUUAAUUAACAUCUUAGCAGGUACAGAACUGUGAUCUCGGACAAUAUGUAAUAUAUUUGUCAACAUCGGGGGGUUGUAGUGACUUUACCGGAGAGUAUUUGCACUCGGAAGGGCAAAGAUGAAUGUUAAAUAAUCGGACAUAGUGCGAUAAGGUUGUAUGUCUAAAGGGAAACAGCCCAGAACAAGAGUUAAGGUUCCAAAAUUAUUGUUAAGUGAAAUUAAGGAUGUUUUUUUUUAAAACAAUCAGGAAAUAGGCUUAGAAGCGGCCAUUUUUUGAAGACCUCGUAACAGAGCACUGAUUAAUAAAUUAGGAAAAAACGCCGAAAAUUUAACGGAUCUAAAUAAUAUACCGAAACCUUGUACACAUAUAAAAAUUUAAACGACAUCGUUUAAAUUUUAUGUGGGGUAGCGGAACAUUGGAUUAAACAAAAUAUUAAUAUUUUUCUUAAAAUAUUACAAAUUCUUAAUGUAUUGUAUAUAUUAUUAUAUACUAAUUAUAAAUUAAGAAGCGUUAAAUCCAAGAGAGAAUGCUGACAUGAGUAACGAAAAAGGCUUUUAGCCUCGCCUGAAGCUUAUGGUUUCAACUAAAAUCGGUGUCUAAAAAGAUUAAUCAAAGGAUAAUUUUGAUGACGUAUUAAGUUUUUUUUUAAUAAAAUAAUACCAAAACCUUUAACAAGUAAUAAAGGUUCUGGAAAAGUUUAUUUUUAUAUUGGAUUGAUAUAUAUGAAUUAUUUAUCCCCUUACUAUAUUAUAUAAAUAUAAUAAGAUAAUAUAUUUAGACUAAUAUAGUUGAUAAAUAUAUUAAUAUAUAAAAAAAAAUAACAUAAAAAAACAAAAAUAACCGUACCUAGAAACUAACUCAAGUAAGCAAGUAGAGUAUACAAAGGCGUUUGAGAGAACAAUCAUUAAGGAACUCGGCAAAUUGACUCUGUACCUUCGGAAUAAGGAGGGCCAUUAACAUUAAUUCAACAUAUUAUUAAGUAUGAAAAAUUGAAUUAAUGUUAAGAGGAAUCAUGAAAUAAUGUUGUACGACUGUUUAAUAAAAACACAGCACUCUGCAAAGAUAAAAAAUCAAAGUAUUGAGUGUGAUGUCUGCCCAAUGUCGGCUGGGUAACGGAUCUUCCUUGAUUAUUAACCAAGGUUUUGAAGGACACCCCGAUUAAUGGCGGCCUUACCUAUGAGGGUCCUAAGGUAGCGAAAUACCUUGGCCGUUAAAUGCGGUCCUGCAUGAAUGACUUAACGAUGCAACAGCUGUCUCGAUGAUUGUCUCAGUGAAAUUGGAAUAGCAGUGCAGAUACUGUUUACCUCUAGAUAGACGAGAAGACCCUAUGCAGCUUUACUGUUACUAAUUACAGGAGUGAAAUUUUGGAUGAUUUAUAGUGUAUAAGGUAGUUGAUUAGAUAACAAUGAAACACCUUUAUUCGAAUCCUUAUAUAUGCUCUUGAUGAUUGGGAGGCAGUUUAUGCGGGGCACAGAUCCCACAAAAAGUACCUGGGUAUAUCCAAAGUUCAUAUUGUAAACUUGUAUAUUUAUAUACAAAUAUUUUAAUUUGUUCUAAUUAUUAUUAUAAUUAUACAGUUAUUAUUCGAUUAAAUUCAACAAUUAUUUUUUAUUUUAAGUAAGAUUUUAACUAUGUGGUGAAUAGAUGUAUUUUAAACUUUACCCUUAUUUAGGGCUAUAAAAGUUUAUUUGUUAUAUUAAUAAAGUAUUUAUCUUUAUUAAUAUAAUAUUUAUUAAUACUUUAAAAGUUUAAUGGCUAAAUCUUGCUUUACUGUUUGACCUACAAGUCUAUCAGUCGCGUAAGCGGGGCAUAUGAUCACAAGAUGCUUUAAGGAAAGGUCUUGGAUUAUAGAAAAAGUUACGCUAGGGAUAACAGGCUAAUUUGCGCAAGAGAGUACAAAUUGAGUGCGCGGUUUGGCACC